Molecule: ribosomal RNA, 460 nt
Filed under: uncultured bacterium
Lineage: Bacteria
Description: partial 16S ribosomal RNA
Rfam family: Bacterial small subunit ribosomal RNA
Source: RNAcentral
CCUACGGGGGGCAGCAGUGAGGAAUAUUGGUCAAUGGCCGAGAGGCUGAACCAGCCAAGUCGCGUGAGGGAAGAAUGUCCUAUGGAUUGUAACCCUCUUUUGUCAGGGAGCAAAGUCACCCACGUGUGGGUGUUGGAGAGUACCUGAAGAAAAAGCAUCGGCUAACUCCGUGCCAGCAGCCGCGGUAAUACGGAGGAUCCGAGCGUUAUCCGGAUUCAUUGGGUUUAAAGGGGGCGUAGGUUGUUUUAUAAGUUAGCGGUGAAAUACCGAUGCUCAACAUCGGGGCUGCCGCUAAUACGGUAGGACUAGAGAUCGGAUGCAGCAGGCGGAAUGUGUAGUGUAGCGGUGAAAUGCAUAGAUAUCACGCAGAACGCCGAUUGCGAAGGCAGCUUACCGGCGCUCAACUGACGCUGAGGCACGAAAGUGCGGGUAUCGAACAGGAUUAGAUACCCGAGUAGUC